RNAcentral lists this ribosomal RNA (292 nucleotides) under uncultured bacterium. RNAcentral's name for it is "partial 16S ribosomal RNA". The record is from RNAcentral. RNAcentral also lists the same sequence under 1 other name.
GGACUACUGGGGUAUCUAAUCCUGUUUGCUCCCCACGCUUUCGUGCCUCAGUGUCAGUGCUGGUCCAGGUAGCCGCCUUCGCCACUGGUGUUCCUCCCGAUCUCUACGCAUUUCACUGCUACACCGGGAAUUCCACUACCCUCUACCGCACUCUAGCUUUCCAGUAUCCACUGCCAUUCCCAGGUUGAGCCCAGGGCUUUCACAACGGACUUAAAAAACCACCUACGCACGCUUUACGCCCAGUAAUUCCGAGUAACGCUUGCACCCUUCGUAUUACCGCGGCUGCUGGCAC